Molecule: ribosomal RNA, 439 nt
Filed under: uncultured bacterium
Lineage: Bacteria
Description: partial 16S ribosomal RNA
Rfam family: Bacterial small subunit ribosomal RNA
Source: RNAcentral
CCUACGGGUGGCUGCAGUGGGGAAUAUUGCACAAUGGGCGAAAGCCUGAUGCAGCAACGCCGCGUGAGCGAUGAAGGCCCUCGGGUCGUAAAGCUCUGUUCUCAAGGAAGUUAAUGACGGUACUUGAGGAGGAAGCCCCGGCUAACUACGUGCCAGCAGCCGCGGUAAUACGUCGGGGGCUAGCGUUAUCCGGAAUUACUGGGCGUAAAGGGGGCGUAGGUGGUUUCUUAAGUCAGAGGUGAAAGGGUACGGCUCAACCGUAGUAAGCCGUUGAAACUGGGGAACUUGAGUGCGGGAGAGGAGAGUGGAAUGCGUGGUGUAGCGGUGAAAUGCGUAGAUAUUAGGAAGAACACCAGUUGCGAAGGCAGCAUUCUGGACUGUGACUGACGCUGAGGCACGAAAGCGUGGGGAUCGAACAGGAUUAGAUACCCGAAUAGUC